AUGUUUUUAGUUGAUUUACUGGUUUAUUCUUCUCUCCUUUACGUGAAAUUUAAAGAUAGGUUGCUUUAUAGGUUGCUUUAUAGUUGCUGAACAUUAAACACGUGAACACAAAAAUUGCAAACAUAAAACAUUGACGUUAAAAAGUAUUUUGGUUGCUACUACAAAAGUGAAAUGUAAAGUUUGAAAGAACUUUAUCAUGCAUUGUAAAAUCUUCUUAUUUUUGGUGAUUACCAUAUGGUUAAUUAUAUAAUUCAUGGUGUUAUACGGGCCCUGUGACUCGGCAUAUUUUGCUUUAAAUGGAAUUUUGAAUUGGAAAAGUCUUGAUUUGCUAACUUAAUCAGGAACCAAAUCAGCUUUCAAUCAAUGCAAAUCAAUCAAUCAAUUUAUUAUAUUUUCAAUCAAUCAAGUAUAUAUUAUUAAAAAAAGAGUUAACAUCUAAUGUAACUUACAUAUCAGAGAAACAGCAUUAUCACAAUUGUCCAACACGUGCAAGCACGGAAACAAGGACGCUAAAAUGGUUAUGAGAUGAUGGUGAUAAAUCUUAACUUAAAUUUUUUGUAUGUUUAUAUCAGAAGUAAACAAAAAGUCAACAUCCUCUUUGGUCAAUUGAAGCAGACAAUAGCACUGUUACAACCGAUAUAAACAUAGUCAUAUUUUUUUUAUUCUGUCUUCAAAACUGAAACCUUAAGGUAUGCCAACAUUCGUGGAAAGUUGUUGAAAACUUGUUUACAAUUGAAGACGUUCAAAGUAAUCAUGAAAAAACUAAAUCAACUGGUAUAUAUAUGAAGUGUUGUGGGACCUUCUAAAAUAUUUUUCAUUCUAAAAUUUUUAAAAAUCAGUGUUUUUUAACUGCUUAAGGUGCAUCAUUCAAAAUUAAAAUAAAGUUAUUCAACUGUUUUAUUAAAAUUUAUUCAAAAGUAUCCAGCGUCUGGAAAGAACAAAGAAGAUGAUAAUUAAAUGGAUGACUAAACUAAAAAGAAUGAUGUGACUAAAAGAAUAUUAAAUGAGCAAUAAUUUCAGAUCAAUGAUUUCAGAUGGUCUGGAAUAUAAAUAUCAUAAGUAUCAUAAGUAGGAACUAUAAGCAAAGAUAAAACCUGUUACAGAUGACGGGAUAAAGCGUGUUGAGUUACAAUUAAGAGUGUGUUCCAGAUGACAUCACAAAGCUUCAGUUAAAGAAAGAAGAUGCUCAAGUUUAUGUAUAUCUGGAAAAAAGUUCAUAAUUUGUGGAUUUCCUUUCAAAUGUACUCCUUGUUUAUUGAGGCCAAAAUGGAAUCAAGCCAAUAUGGAUACCCACUUCAGUGAAGCAUAUUCUAGUGAGCGCGUUUCAAUCAAGCCAAUAUGGAUACCCAGUUCAGUGAAGCAUAUUCUAGUAAGUGCCUUUUCCAUUGGUCAAAACAAAUGGUAGUCAGACAGAACAAGAUAUUGGCUUGAUGAUCUGCACAAGUGUUUCGAGACCAAAUGCAAAACGAGACAGCAAAAACAUGAAUUACUUUUGUGCUAUUAGAAUUUGAAUUAUUAAUUUCAAACGAAACCUCUUAUAUGUUUAUGAAAAAAAUGUAUUUUAGAAA
Molecule: non-coding RNA, 1568 nt
Organism: Hydra vulgaris (swiftwater hydra)
Lineage: Eukaryota; Metazoa; Cnidaria; Hydrozoa; Anthoathecata; Hydridae
Source: RefSeq, a predicted model, not a curated record